GCGGAAGUGGUGGAAUUGGUAGACACGCCAUCUUGAGGGGGUGGUGACUUAGGUCGUGGGGGUUCGAGUCCCCCUUUCCGCA
This 82-nucleotide transfer RNA is filed under the name Brumicola nitratireducens FR1064. Its description in RNAcentral is "Glaciecola nitratireducens FR1064 tRNA". It matches the Rfam family "tRNA". From Rfam's summary of the family: Transfer RNA (tRNA) molecules are approximately 80 nucleotides in length. Their secondary structure includes four short double-helical elements and three loops (D, anti-codon, and T loops). Lineage: Bacteria; Pseudomonadati; Pseudomonadota; Gammaproteobacteria; Alteromonadales; Alteromonadaceae. The record is from Rfam by way of RNAcentral.